This 440-nucleotide ribosomal RNA is filed under the name uncultured bacterium. Its description in RNAcentral is "partial 16S ribosomal RNA". It matches the Rfam family "Bacterial small subunit ribosomal RNA", at positions 338 to 795 of the family's 1533-position model. The record is from RNAcentral.
CCUACGGGAGGCAGCAGUGGGGAAUAUUGCACAAUGGGGGAAACCCUGAUGCAGCGACGCCGCGUGAGUGAAGAAGUAUUUCGGUAUGUAAAGCUCUAUCAGCAGGGAAGAACAUGACGGUACCUGAUUAAGAUGCCCCGGCUAACUACGUGCCAGCAACCGCGGUAAUACGGAGGGGGCAAGCGUUAUCCGGAUUUACUGGGUGUAAAGGGAGCGUAGACGGUUGGAUAAGUUAGAGGUGAAAUCCCGAGGCUCAACUUCGGAAUUGCAUUUGAUACUGUUCGGCUAGAGUGUAGUUGAGGUAGGCGGAAUGCAUGGUGUAGCGGUGAAAUGCGUAGAGAUCAGGCAGAACACCGAUUGCGAAGGCAGUUUACUGAGCUACUUCUGACGGUGAGGCACGAAAGCGUGGGGAGCAAACAGGAUUAGAUACCCCGGUAGUC